Rhineura floridana is the source of this 683-nucleotide long non-coding RNA. RefSeq lists it as uncharacterized. The transcript is spliced from 3 exons. The record is from RefSeq and is a predicted model, not a curated record. Lineage: Eukaryota; Metazoa; Chordata; Lepidosauria; Squamata; Rhineuridae.
CAUCCCUCCAUUGCUGAACUCCACUCCCCUCCCUCUUGGCUGAGCUUUCCCUCAGACUGUUUGUCUUUUUUUUUUUUUUUUUUACUAUUGGGCUGGAAAUUCCUUUUCUUUCAUUUCCUUUCCCCUUCUCACCUCCUCCAACCUCCCCUGAAACUAACAAGUCAGUUUUUGUCAAUUCCACAGCUCCGUCAACCAGGCUUUAUCCCUAGCUUUGCUCAAGGUUCCCGCUCCACAGAUUGACGCAAUGCUUCCUUCUCCUUUACCUCACUUCCAGUUGACAGCAGGUGCUGAUAGCUAACUGUCUGGGACAAGCUCUCCCCGGAGAGAAAGCUACACACAUUCAAAAUCGCAUGGAGAGAAUGCAGGGAGACAUGAACACAUCUACCAGGGAAGCCAUCGAUAAGAGGCACAAUAAAUUUUUUCCUUGCCUCACACUCCAAAAGCACAUGUCCAACUGUUUCAGGCAACUUUGCCUUACAAAUACAGUAACGGUUUUCCAGAGAAAUGCCAUUGAAGCGACCUGACAGGAGUGCAGAAGGGCUUUGAAGUUUGCAAUUGGAAAAUUCUGAAUUUUCUCUACUGGACUUUCUGCAAGCAACUUCUUCAUUUAUGUCUUGCUGAAUGCAUUGGACUUUGGGAAUUAUUAUGUUAAGAAGAUAUAUGAUAUAUUCUGUUGGCAUACA